Molecule: long non-coding RNA, 754 nt
Organism: Octodon degus (degu)
Lineage: Eukaryota; Metazoa; Chordata; Mammalia; Rodentia; Octodontidae
Exons: 3
Source: RefSeq, a predicted model, not a curated record
GAGAGGUCAUGGAGAACCAAGCAAACCUUCUUCUUGCCAUGCAAAGAGUGUUAACUUGGGACUUUGGCCAUUGGGCUCUGGGUCAGUGAGCCCCCUUAGCCCUCCAGAUGGAGUAUGCAGCAGGAGGAAUCUGUACUUUGGGAAAAGUGAAGUCCCGCGUGGAGAUGUAUCACUGAGGCUAGCUUUCUUCAAGAAUUCCCCAAUAACGUGACAAGCUUUCUGGAGUCAAUAUCACUUGAAAACAACAAGGACCUCGGGGAGGAAAUGUACCUCUGAAAGUUCAUGCGCGGACGUGCACCGUCUCGUCCCCCUGGACACGCGCUCACUGCCUUAUCUGAAUCCACACAGAAUCGUAACCCCACGAAGGUGGAGACCUCCGCGGCAUGGAAUGCAAUCACUUGAUUUUACAGAAGAGCAAACUGACAUCCAGAGACCAUAAAUAGCAACCUCAGGUCAGCCAUCUGCUUGGAGGGAGGGGCUCCCCGCUCCUUUGCUCCACAUGGGGGUUCCCUGUGCCCCCUCCCAGCAGGUGGCCAGUGACUGUGUAGGAAGCUGCUCCCUGGGAAGGGCUUUCUGUAUCCUUUCAAGCUGCUGCAGCAGGAGGGACCUGGAGGAUAUUAGGAUGGACAGCACGCACCAGAUACAAAAGAACAAAUGCUGUGCUAGCUCGCCUGCAAGGUGUGCUGGAGAAAUCAUGGGCACUGAAAUUAAAAAAAAAAAAAAAGUUACAGCGGAAGGCACAUUUCUAUGAGUA